RNAcentral lists this ribosomal RNA (430 nucleotides) under uncultured archaeon. RNAcentral's name for it is "bacterial SSU rRNA". It matches the Rfam family "Archaeal small subunit ribosomal RNA", at positions 474 to 903 of the family's 1478-position model. The record is from RNAcentral.
UACCAGCUCUCCGAGUGGUAGGGAUGAUUAUUGGGCUUAAAGCGUCCGUAGCCGGCUUAGCAAGUUUCCUGUUAAACCCAGCGACUCAAUCGUUGGAUCGCGGGAAAUACUACUAGGCUAGGAGGCGGGAGAGGUCAACGGUACUUCUGGGGUAGGGGUGAAAUCCUAUAAUCCCGGGAGGACCACCAGUGGCGAAGGCUGUUGACUAGAACGCGCUCGACGGUGAGGGACGAAAGCUGGGGUAGCAAACCGGGAUUAGAUACCCGGGUAGUCCCAGCUGUAAACGAUGCGAGCUAGGUGUUGGGAUGGCUACGGGCCAUUUCAGUGCCGCAGGGAAGCCAUUAAGCUCGCCGCCUGGGGAGUACGGCCGCAAGGCUGAAGCUUAAAGGAAUUGGCGGGGGAGCACCACAAGGCGUGAAGCUUGCGGUUC